GGCGUCGGCUGCAGGUGGGGAGAGACGGGAAGAGGGGUUUGCUUAGCAGUACGAGAGGACGACACGGAGACUCAGCAUAAAGACAAGGCCCAUCCACUCUGCGGAAAAUGCAAAUCCCUGCCGAACAAUGGGCCAAAAUGAUCUUCUUUGGGCCCAGUUUAACUCAUCGUCUUCUUCCUUCCUUCCCAUUGUCAUUCUUUCCGUAAAAAAUAGUAUCCUAUUGUAAUUCUUCGAGAAAAAAACUAUUUUCAUUUUUGAAGAAACUUUCAAUUCAUUCAUAAUCGCUCUUCCCUCACUAGAGUCGAGCAAACUUUGUUUCAGUAGACAGUCAGAAAUUCAUCGCGCUAAGGCUUCAAGGACCAGCAAAUUGGAAGGAUCAAAUCUGUAAACACACGGAUGAAGACAUGAUCUAAACGGAUCCACCGAAGACCAGCACACAUCGAAUCCCGCGAGAUCAGACAAAGACAAAUCUUGACCCACCAUCUAACAAUGUUGGACGCGCCACCAGCACGGGGAUCAAACAUGGGCGACAUUAUUCCUACUAAAGGGUAUCGUUGCAGCCACACAACCACAACCAAGACGCUGGAGUUAACAAGAAUUCAUUAGGAAAAUCCCACCUGACCUCAUAGCUUCAAAUAGUUUAUCCUUGUCAUCACCCGAUAUUAGCUUUACCCAAUCCUGGCCGCUGUCGCCAUAGUUUUCCUACAUGUCACCGCCUUAGUCCCCCCUUCUUUUCCUUAUCCGGUGGCCUCGUUAUCGGGAAGAGGAGCGAGGCUCGAUUACCUUAUUUUCUUUUCCUUAGGUUUUUGUUCCCUUGGCAACAUCGACUAGUUGUUCGCAGCAUGGCAUGUUGUAAUAAGGUUUCUCUGAUUUCUUCCUAACUCGACGACAUCUGAUCCGGCAUCGACGAAGGCCUGUGAGAGUUUGUGUCCUUGGAUCCGUUGGUUCCCUUAAGAUAUUGGCAAUUUGUGUGUCUUUCAAGGAGAGUUAUUGGUUGGCUAUUAGUGCAGUGACUUCCACAUCUUCUUCUUUGUUGUUCUAUGACAUAGUAUGAUUUCUUCAACCCUCUGAGCUCGUGGCGAUGGAUUACAAGUUUGUACCACGUGGUGUGAUGCUCCAAACGACACUACUUCAAUGACUUAUAAAUCUCAUGUCACAGACGAGUGACUAUUGCAGUCUUCAAAGUCUGGUAUGGCGAGAGCAUUUGUAAGUGUCCCUAUCACUUAUUGUUGGUUUAUUACAACUUUCAAUCUCCAUCACAUGUCGGAUGAUGUGCGAUCGAGGAUGAAGAAGGUUAGUAUGAUUUUUAGUGUAAUUUAAUUUUUACUGAUCGUUCUGCAUUGAGUUGUCUUUACAUUUUACUGGUUUCUGUUUCCUUGAUAUUAAUCAAAUUUAAGAUGUCCUUGGGUGUGUUUAUUAAGGAAAAGAAUAGUACAUGAUAUGUACAUCCUGCUCUUGCCAAUUUCAACCAAUCUCCUUUAUAUGGUUGUUGUUUUCUUGAAUUUUUUUCUCAGUCUAUUCUCUAUCGAUUGUCAGCUUUCUUUGGUUUAUUGACUGAGUUUUCUUUUAUUUUUUACAUUUUUUCUUCUAUUUUCUCUUCCCUUUUUCUCCUUCUCAUUUUUAUUUUUUGCCAGAUUUUACUAAUGAACCCAAAAAAAUACAUAAACAUUUUUCAAAUAGACUGUAAACAUUUUUGCUAAAAUGGAAAUAUUUUUUAAUACAUCUUGGCUAUUUUAAAAACAUUAUUAUUAUUUUGGAAAAGGAGGAAAGACCCCCGCCUCUGCAUCAUCACAAUGCAUGUGGCCAAUUUCCAAAACAUUAUAAUCAUUUUCAGAUACAUGAUGAAAUUGUUUGAUAAACAUUUAAUUUUUUUCACAUACUGUUAACAUUCUAUAAAUAGAUGAUGAUUUUCUAAAUAAAGUUCAUUAUUUUUUUUAGAAAAAAUCACAAAAAUUAAAAUAAUAUAAUAAAGUUUAAUUCACAUGUUUAUGGAAUAAUGUUUGUAUUUGAUAAAAUAAAGCCAUAAAAAUCACUAGAGCCGAAGUACAGGGUGAGCCCAAACUAGGCCAUUCAUCCCAUAAUGAUGUGUCAUGUGCGCCAUCCCCCUCUGUGUAUGUUCACUCCCCAAAAGCAUGUAAGUCUGACUCCGGAUCCAAAGGUCGCGUGUUCGAUUGAUUGAUGUCGGGUUCAAUACCCUCAGUGUCUUGUUUUCUGAAUUCACUCACAUAAUAUUGUGGCUUGGAUGAACUACCUUCACCAAAUUCUUCUAGAUAUAUGGAGAUUGAAUCAGAUGUCCCUCCCCGUGGGCAAACGAUUUAUGCAUGACUUGCACUGUCGAUGUUUUUUUAGUACGUAUUUUUGCGCGUUUCUCCAAUGCUUCAUGCUUAAUUUGUUUGAUUUUCAAAUCAGACAGAUGCAAAACCAGCGGGGUCAUGAUAACAUCAUCACCUUGUCUAAGCUAGUACUCGCUCCGUUCUAAAAUAAGUGCUUCAACCUUAAUACAUCUUUACACUAACGGUAAUACAAAGUUAAGACACUUAUUUUAAGACGGAGGGAGUACCUGUGAUGUUUCGAUAAAAUGGUAUCUUAGACGGCAAAUGAUAAAGAAUAUGCUUGUCGAGAAGUUGCAUAUGAUAUAUGAAAAACAUCAUAGAUAGUGCAAGUAAUCGUGCUAAUUCAUGUAGAGUUUCUAUGGAUUGGAAGAUGGUACUGCAGAACUUCGGCAAGUCAGAUGACCAUGAAGACAUUGGGUAAAAAAAAUUGAUCUUCAGCUACAACCAGCAAAGAAGAAGAUAAAAUUAUUGCUUAGAGCAUAUCUAGCAGAUCCGCAAAGCGGCAAAAUCAUAUUUAACGCACUCAGCGUCAAACUGUCGACCGAUCGCCUGUGAUCGUUUAGAUUGGGCCGACCCAUUUAAACAUUUUCAGCUUUCCCAGUUUACGAAACCUCCUAAACGUUCCCUGUUGGCUCUUUUACAGUUUUGAGAAAAUUCUAGAAGGUUCCUGAGCCGGAUAUUUUUUUGCUAUAUUUCUCUUCCUUUUUUUUCUGUUUCUCUUUUGCUCAUUUCUUUCUCAAAUUAUUUUAUUUUCUAAUAUAUUUUUUUGCAUUUUCGAAAAUUUGUUCGUGUUUCAGUAAGUGUUCAAGAAUUUCAAUAAAUGUUUGUAUUUUCAAAAUAUGUUUGCAUUUUUCAUAAAUUUGUUUGCUUUUUCAAAAAUUGUUCAUAGAUUCAGAAAUUGUUCAUAUUUUCAAAAAAACGUUCAGUUCACAAAUACAAAAAAAUGAUCGCACUUUACAAAAUAUGUUCUUGUUUUUUUUAAAAUUACAAAUUUUAAAAAGUUUAUAUUUCCAAAAUAUCUUUGCAUUAAAAAAUUGGUGGCAAUUUAUAAAUGUUAUCGAACCAUCUAGAAAAUCACACAAAUUUCCGUCUUCAGCGCAUAUACAUAAAAUGGCAAAAACACUUGUAUCCAACACGGACAAGAGUGUUGUCAAUCCCCUUAAACUCCUUACUUGCAAAUAAUAAGUAGUGUAGUUGGAUAGUUUGAUAAAUAUAAAUUAAACAUAAAUAAAAAAGUAAAUAAAGACAACAAGCUAUUUUGAGUUUUUUUAUUUAUAUUUGUGAAUAGACCCGGUCCAUAGUUUUCGUUAGAGACUCGGCCGACCCCUUGAGGGUCCUUGGACCCCAAGGCAAGGCCCCCCUCCCUCCCACCUAUAUAUACGGAGGUUUUAGGGCUAAUUUGAGACGACUUUUCCACGGCAGCCCGACCACAUACCUCCACGGUUUUUCCUCUAGAUCGCGUUUCUGCGAAGCUCGGGCGGAGCCCUGCUGAGACAAGGUCAUCACCAACCUCCGGAGCACCGUCACGCUGCCGGAGAACUCUUCUACCUCUCCGUCUCUCUUGCUGGAUCAAGAAGGCCGAGAUCAUCGUCGAGGUGUACGUGUGCUGAACGCGGAGGUGCCGUCCGUUCGGUACUAGAUCGUGCGACUGAUCGCGGGAUUGUUCGCGGGGCGAAUCGAGGGACGUGAGGACGCUCCACUACAUCAACCGCGUUCUCUAACGCUUCUGCUGUACGGUCUACAAGGGUACGUAGAUCACUCAUCCCCUCUCGUAGAUGGACAUCACCAUGAUAGGUCUUCGUGCGCGUAGGAAAUUUUUUGUUUCCCAUGCGACGUUCCCCAACAGUGUGGUGGUGGCUUCGGCAAUGGUGGUGGUGGUAGGGUGGCUUCGGCAAUGGUGGUGGUAGUGGUGGUGGCUUCGACAAUGGUGAUGGUGGUAGGGUGGCUUCGGCAAUGGUGAUGGUGGUAGGGUGGCUUCGGCAAUGGCGAUGGUGGUAGGGUGGCUUCCGCAAGGGUGGUGGUGGUGGCGGCUUCGGCAAUGGUGGUGGUGGUAGGGUGGCUUCGGCAAUGGUGGUGGUAGUGGUGGUGGCUUCGACAAUGGUGGUGGUGGUGUCUUCGACAAUGGUGGUGGUGCUUCGGCAAGCCAUGUCAAUGGUGGUGAUGAUGGCCACACUCAAUCUCCGGUCCAAGUCCAUAAAGGUGGUGGUGCGAGCUCUCCGGUUGAAGUUCGUGAAGGUGAUGGCGCGAGCUCUCCGGUCAAUGUUGGUGAUGGAGCUUGAUUGAUCUAUGUGAUUUGUGCAUCUUUUGCCUAGUUUAUCGUGCAUACAUGAAGCUCAUCAUUUUGGAUGUGAUGAACUAGUAUGAUGAUCUACUAGCUAGUAAUGUAUAUAUAUGAAAAUGAUGCACCUGUCAUGAUAAACUUGAUAAUAUUUGCAUAUAAUUGUAUUUGCGGAACAACGAGUCCUCCGACGCAGAAUAGAUCCCGCAAACGCGUCUUGCAUAACAUCUACGGGACGGGUUUACGGAAACUGUUCCGUCAGAGGGCUCGUCGUCCCAUAAAAUGUUUUUGCGGGAUCUCUCAAACCAUUUUUUCGGGCCGGCCGUUUGCGGAGUUUGCUAGAGAUGUUUUUUUUGCUCAUGUCAACAUGCAAAGCUUACUAUUGUGCUCUCGCCUUGGCUAAUAUUCUUCGUACUAAAUUAUUUAUUUUAGAUUUACCUGGAUGUGAAUGUAUCAUGACAAAGGAAGUAGCUGACUGGAUACAUUCUCUACCAUUUUUGCUGAACCAGCAGCAAACCUCUGGACUGGAGAAGGCCCAUUCUCCUUCUGGAGCGCCAGAAAUGUCUCAACCGUGGCACCUCACGCAGGAGCAGGAGAACAAACUAAAGAUGGCGCCGAGGGAAGCGCGAGACUGGCCGUCGUUGGCAGGGCACGUCUCAAACUCUCCAUCAACCUGGAGAACCACAUGAGGCCACGACCACAUGCUGCACCAGCUCCUUAAUUUAAGCUCCAAAGGAACUGUUAAUUGGAAAAAAUUCAGCCUAUAAUCUAUGAUAUGAUAAUGAAGCUACAGCGUACUUCUCUGUAGCUUAAGUCCCUAAUCUACCAUUAAUGUCGCUCUUGUAGAUUGGUCAGCGAGCAACAACACACCGGAUCCGUGGCGCAAUGGUAGCGCGUCUGACUCCAGAUCAGAAGGUUGCGUGUUCGAUUCACGUCGGGUUCAAAGCCCCGAUCCUAUUCCGGUCAUUUUAACUUUUAUUUUUACUUUAUUUUUAUUUCUAUUUUUAUUUUUGUUUCUCUAGCAGGCGCUUUGUACCCCUGAUGUUGUAUUAAAUUACCCAAUAUGCGACCCAUAAAUGAAGGAAACGAUUUGAUUUUGGAAUCUGUCAAAGUCGCCGUCCGUAUCAGUACUUAAAUGGCGAGGCGAGACCUUUGAAAGCAACAACAGCUAGCUUGGCUUAUUGGCUUUAGUGCAGCUACACCAUUCACGAAUCCCAGGUUUGAUUCCUGAACAACACCUUUUUUAUCGGAUUUUCUGUUUUAUUAUUUCAAUUUGUUUGUUGCCUUCUUUUAAUUAACUUGAAACUUUUCAAAAUUCCAAUUUUAAAAGUUUCAAGUUUUGAAAAACUGUUUGCAUAUUAUAAAAGAAUCCACAAUUUUCAAAAAUAUAUUCUUUUAUUUAAUUCGGAACUUUUCAAUAUUCCAAUUUUAAAAGUUUUGAGUUUUGAAAAAAAUGUUUGCAUAUUAUAAAAGAAUCCACAAUUUCCAAAAAUAUAUACAGAAAAUAUAGAACAUUCAUGAUUUGAAAAUGAUCAUGUAUUCAAAACAUAGAAAAAAUGUUCAGGAAAUCAUAAAAUGUCUAGAAAUUCAAAAGAAGGAUCAGGAAAUCAUAAAUUGUUUGCGGAAUUCAAAAUUGUUUAUGAUUUUCAAAAAACAGUUUGCAUAUUAUAAAAUAAUUCACAAUUUUGACAAAUAUAUUCUGGAAAAUAUAAAAUGUUUCUUAUUUCAAUUUAUUUUUCUUCUAUAAAUUAAUUCAGAAUUUUUCAAAAUUCUGUAUUUAAAAGGUUUUGAGUUUUGGAAAAACGAAUCAUGAAAUCAUAAAAUGUUUGUAAUUUAAAUAAACUUUCAGGAAAACAUAAAAUGAUCACGGACUAAAAAAUGUUGAUGAUUUUAAAGAACUGUUUCGAUAUCGUAAAAGAAUUCACAAUUUUGAAAAAUAUAUUCAUCCAAUAUAAAACAUUCAAGAUUUUGAAAAUGAUGAUGUAUUCAAAACAUAUCCAUGAAUUCAAAGAAAAUGUGUGUGACAUUUAUAAAAUGUUACAAAAUUUGAUAACAUGGACAGCGGGGCCAUCAUCAACGAGGAUGGCAAAAAAAAAUAAGUGGUAAUAUGAUGGGCCAUCAUGGUAAAAUAGAAAAAUAGAGAACGCUCAUAUGUCAGGAUAUUGAGCCAUACUUAUUUGGCUACGACGUAAUAUUUUGGUUUACCGUUGCAACGCACGGGACUGUAAACCAAAUAGAGUGCAUUUAAUACCGCAUGACAGAACAACCUUUUUACAAACACGCAAUCAUCAAAUAAGCAAGCGCACUCCCCCCCCCCCCCCNNNNNNNNNNNNNNNNNNNNNNNNNNNNNNNNNNNNNNNNNNNNNNNNNNNNNNNNNNNNNNNNNNNNNNNNNNNNNNNNNNNNNNNNNNNNNNNNNNNNNNNNNNNNNNNNNNNNNNNNNNNNNNNNNNAACAGCUCCUCCUCGACCAUCAUGUUUACGUAAGGAAAGCAAUGGCAUUUGCACCAUCUACGGGGCUAUUCUUCCUUUUCCUCUAGGCUCACACCUAUAAAGCGGAUUCGGACCUGCAAAUGCACUUGCAAGCUUAAUGCCUUUGCAUAGCUCCUCCAGAAUGAUAGACCCAGCACCACUGGCAUGCUUCUUAGGCAUAACAUUCAAUGUCACCGAGGAUUCGAACUGCGUGCUCUGCAACCCAGAAGAACUGAAAACCAGGGAUUGUCUUUUCUGGAGCUGCCCCUUCAACACCUUAUAUGUGGAGUGGCGUUGAACUGUUUAUAUGUGGACACCAACUCAGGUACACAGUAUCUUCUUUGAUUGGCCAUGACCCACUUCCCCCUUAAUUGCCUCCCCCAACCCCAACCCCUUGCGGUCACUCUAUGUUGACCGUGUAGAUACCUUCUUGUAAGGUUUAAUAAAAAGGAAAUAAGGAAGGGUGACAGAGAAGAAAUAAAGGAAAAACGGACACGAGGUGAUAGAAAAAGGAAAAUGAUGCGCACGGUAAAAGAAAUUAAGGGGGCUGAAGGAAUACAUAUUAAAAUAAUUGAUGCACAGAUACUUUGAACUUUUUAGCUUGGUGGAAAAGAUGGAGAAAAAAAAUCAAAAAUCGAAAUGUAUUUUUAAUGGUAAAAAAGUCACACAAUGUUGCUUGGUGUGCAUGAAGAUUUUUAUUAACAAUAUGUUGUCUAUACAUCCGUUGCAACGCACGAACCCUUUUGGUAGUUUUUUCCAACUGUCUAAGCAUAUAUUUUUUUGUACACCCGGUGCAACGCACGGGCCCUUUUACUAGUAUAAUAAUAAAUUGAAUACCUACUUUUAGGUCCUGUUUGAAACCAUUGAGAUUAUAUAAUCUAGUUUUUAUAAUCUUUUAUGUCUUCAAAUAGGAUAAAUUAUUAUGUAGAUUAUAAAAACUAGAUGGACAAGUUACUAAAAACUUAUAAUCUACUCUACCCGAACUAAAAUCAGAUUAUAGAUUGCUAAUGACCCAUUAUCCAUGUAAAAUUGAAGAUAAUUACAUUCCAAUCACUGCCACCCUCCUCUUUAAAAAAAUAGAGGACAGACAAGUCAUUAUACAAUGUAAAACCUGGAUUACAGUUUAUAUAAUCUGGUCUGCAAACAUGUCCACCUAGAUUACCCAUUAUCCAAGUAAAAUUGGAGAUAAUUACAUUCCCGCCACCGUCACCCUCCUCUUUUAAGAAAAAUAGAGGACAUGCAAGUCAUUAUGCAAUGUAAAACCUGGAUUACAAUUUAUAUAAUCUGGCCUCCAAACAUGUCCACCUAGAUUAUCUUUAUAAACCAGAUUAUAUAAUCUAUCUUCAUAAUCCAGAUUAUCAUAAUCUAUUGUGGUUCCAAACAGGGCCUUAGUGUAAUAUUUGCGCGCAAAAGUCACCGACGGUCUACUUAGUUUGACAUCGUAUUGUGAUUCAUCAAGCUCCUAUUCCGGUCCUAUAUUUUCCUUUUCUAUUUCUCAGAUGAUUAAUUUGCUAGAUUUCAGAUCAUAUUAUGCAUAAAAGCAGAGUAGAUAUUGCUCCAACGACUGAAUAAGCGAGGUAGAUUUUGUUCCCGAUAAGAGGUUCUGUUCUUCCUUGGUGCUUAAUUUGGAAGCAUUUGUCACCUCCACGAAAAUUCAAACUCUGCAAGCCAAAAAUAUUCAGGCUCCGAAAGCAACUCCGAGGGGCCGAGCCAGGGGCAGGCGCUUUGUUCUCCAAUAAUGAUAAAUUGAAUGCCUACUUUUAGUUCGACAGUGUAUUGUGAUUCACCAGGCUCCAACUCUUCCUGGUUACCACUAUGGAGGUGUUUGGUCCGCAGUUUUCCACCCGCUACCUGAUUACGUCGCAACCUCAUACCAUUAAUCUUGUUUGCUUGGCUCUGCCCGUAAACAAGGUCCCGCGUAAACAGAUCCCGGCGUUUUUUUAGCCUGAUUCCAUCCACCCCCCACCGUAAACAAAUUACUUUACAGCCAAAGCGAGGCGAGUUGAGGGACUCUUCCAGCCCCCGAUCCCCAACCCUUGGCGCCCACUCAUGAGUCGGGGUUGAAGCUAGUUGGCUGCCUAGACGUGGGGUCCCUGUUUUGUCGUCGGUAUUCAUUAGCGUUACAACAGUUAACUAAACAAGAAUUGAUUUUAGACCAUACCAUUUACAUUAGCGGUGUAAACCCAUUACGUUUACGUUUAUGUUACACUUCUGAAACCAAACACCUCCUAUAUAUAACCACAAUAAAAUGGCCAAAGUAAGCGGCUUUAUCAUAUAUCCAUGUAGGAAAGAGAAGACGAAACCGACGUGUAAAUGGGGUCCCAAAUCGUUGGGCAAUUCGUGACGUUUGGUCUCUCCACCGCAUGUGCGCAAUUCGUGGCUUCGUUUUAAGCAUGGACAUAUUUGUGUGUCAGAAUGGGACAUCUUCCUACCAGCAUAGGGACAUGAUGGAUCAGAAUUAAUGGGGCACGGUGCACACACGCGUCCAGGCCGGGAUGGCACUGGAUGGAUAUCAGGGUCUCGCGUAUUCACACAUUUUCGGCACAGCCACAUACUGAUCUAUCAGGCAUAUUAUACCUAGCAGCCAGUACGUGCUGCGAGGCCGAUCUUGCUGGCUAUAAAAUGCCCCCGGUCAUUCCAGAGAGGGUGCACGGCAAUAUUGGGCAAGAUCAUAGAGAGAAGAACCAGCCAUGGACACCACCAAGAGGUGCAUUGCCACAGUCAUCGUGCUGAUGCUCUGCCUCCAGCUCCACACCUCCGCGGACGCCCGCCGCCUCUCCUCCGGCGGCGGCGAGAUCCGGCUUCCAAGCGACGGCAAAGGUUGGUGGCCGUGUUUGAAUGAAACGCAUGCCAUUGUUGUCCAAAAAUACUCUUGAUUUUUCAACUCCCACCGUUUUUAAAUAUAAGUAUUUUUAAGUACUUCUUUCGUACCUGAAUAAUUGUAGUUGGGAGUAUUACACUAAAGACUAUUUUUUCUAGUAUAAUUCUUCCCAACUACUAUUACUUAGGUACAAAAUUGGUACAUACGAAGCAAAAUAACUACUAUUAUUUAGGUUCAGAAUUGAUACAUACGAAGUAAAAUAAAUGAAUUUACAAUCUAAAAUAUGUCUAUAUACGUCUAUAUAUGAUCUGCAAUGGAACCUUUUAAAAAACUUAUAUUCAGAAACGAAUGGAGUAACUAAUAUGCCACGUGUGUAGACUAACCGUGUGCAUGAUUAACCUCAGAUGAUCCUACUGCUCAAGUCGGGGCGUCAAAGUUGAUCAAGAUAGACGACUCGUUCUAUACCAGCUGUCCGGACGGCAUGGUACUGGAGUGUAUACUCAUUGGAUUCGCCCCUUUUUGCAAGUGCGUGCCUAAAAAGGGUGCCGGCCUCACCGAUGGAUCCAUGCUUCCGAGCGACGGCAGAGGUUCGUGGCCGUGUUUGAAUGAAGGGAAAAUCUAACUAGCCGCGCCGUAUUUCAUGCUUACCGUGCGGCGGCUUGUCCUCAUGCGCGUAUCGCACGCACGACCAGUGAGCCAGCGCAACCGCACACUCCUCAACGCACUGUUGCUAUAGUACACCGCUACUUUCCACGGAAAACGUUCGUACUACCACAGAAUGUGUGAUCACUGUGCCCCAGAAAACAUCAGUGUUUGGCAAAGUACGCAUCGGCAUGGCUCUUUACAGUCAUCAUGUUUUUGCGGUAAGCAUGUUUAAUCCUUGCGACAGUGCUUUUUUCCAACAAAUCCACGUUGUUCUAUACAUCUCUAAAAUAUAAUGUUGACUAGUAAAUAAAUUCCAAUCUAAAAUAUACAACUAAGCACGAAACUAAGCUUCAAAAAUAGACAACUAAGUACUUGUAAUUUGGGCAACUAAAACAUAUUUAAUGACAACUAAGUAAUUUAAAUAUGACAACUAAAUAUGGUUAAAAUCUGGCAGCUAAGUCCGCAACCUAAAAUAUUCAUAUUGAAUACCAAGUACUUGUAAUCUGAUAAGUAUUUUAUAAUCUAGCAAAACAAGUACUAUUUGGUGGCUGCGCGUAAGCACCCCUGCAUCACAUGACGAGAUUUAUGAGACAACACGAUAAUUAGGUAGAAUUAAAAUAACAAGCUACUUAUUUUAAUCUGGAAACUAAGUAUUUUUCUAGCAUGGCAACUAAAAACUUUUUAAUCUGGAAACUAGGUAUUUUUGGCAACUAAGAACUCUUUAAUCUGAAAACAAGCUACUUUCUACAUGGCAAUUAAGAACUUUUUAAUCUGGAAAGUAGGUUUCUUUCUACCAUGGCAACUGAGAGCUUUUUAAUCUGAAACUUAGGUUUCUUUUCUACCAUGGCAACUGAGAACUUUUUAAUCUGAAACUUAGGUUUCUUUUCUACCAUGGCAACUAAGAACCUUUUUAAGCUGGAAACUACGUAUUUUUUCUAGCAUGGCAACUAAGACUUUUUAUCUAGAAACUACGUGCUUUUUCUAGCUUGGCGACUACGAACCUUUUAAGCUGGAAAUUAAGCGUUCUUCUAGCAUGGUAACUAAGUACUUCUAAGCAUUUUUUUUAGCAUGAUAACUAAGAAUGGGUAGUUUGGAGACUAAGCAUUUGCACGGUAAGUAAACACCUCUAAUCUGGAAACUAGGCACAUUUUAGCAUGUCAACUAAGCUCUUCUUGUAAUCUAGAAACUGAGCAAUUUUUAGCUUGGCAAUUAAUCACUUUUUCUUCCUUCAUUUUUUCACACUGACAGUGGUUAUAAGAUGCGUUGUCUAAUGAGAAAUUUGAUGUUUCUUUGGACAAAAGAAGCAGGUGCGAACGGUGAAAACGACAUGGCCAGUCUAGGAUAGAAUAAACGAGGAGCCAUGCAUGCAUGCGCUGUCAGCCUAGCAAGACGCGUACCAUACUUUUUCUCUGUUUGCAUGUGAGUAGCAUUUGGCUACCGGGCCGCCGCACGAGAACGCAAACAUGCGGCGCGUCCUUGAAUGAAACGCAUGCCAUUGUUGUUCAAAAAUACUCUUGAUUUUUCAACUCCCGCUGUUUUAAAUAUAAGUAUUUUUUUAAAUAUUUAUUCUGUAUCUAAAUAAUUGUAGUUGGAGAGGACUAGUUUUUUCCAACUAUAAUUCUCUAGGUACAGAGGGAGUAUUACGCUAAAGACUAUUUUUUCUAGUAUAAUUCUUCCCAACUACUAUUUUUUAGGUACAUAAAGGAUACAUAGAAAGCAAAAUAAACGAAUUUACACUCUAAAAUAUAUUUACAUAUGUCCAUAUAUGAUAUGUAAUGGAACCUUUUAAAAAACUUAUAUUUAGAAACGAAUGGAGUAACUAAUAUGCUACGUGGGUAGACUAACCGUGUGCAUGAUUAACCUCAGGUGAUCCUGCUGAUCAAGUCGGGGCGUCAAAGUUGAUCAACAUAGAGGACUCAUUCUAUACCCCCUGUCCGGACGGCAUGGUACAGAAGUGUAUAUUCGUUGGAACCACCCCUUUUUGCGGGUGCGUGCCUAAAAAGGGUGCCGGCCUCACUGAUGGAUCCAUGUCGUCGACGGCGAACAAGCCGGGGAACAAGGACUAGGACGAUGUCGACGUGGGCGCCGGUAACUAGCUAGCAUUUGCGCCCGUACGUGUGCCAUAUACCAUACGUCAAGCAAUGGUAAUAAGGUCCAGCACAUAUGGUAGCAUGGACACCCUUCCCGUCUUAUUGUACUACUAGCUUGUACACAUGUGCGUUUAUAUACAUGUUGUAUUUUUUAGCUCCUGUGUAUGCAUGCUUUUAUACACACAGAUGUACGGAGUAGGAUAUAACCUCCGUUUUAUAUUACUUAUAAUGGAAUAAUGGUUAAUUACUACGCACGGCCACCCUUUUUUAGCCAGUCACUCCAUUGAUUUCAUUCCAUGUCAUCGUCUGCCGACGGAACAACCUCCGUUGGCAUAGUUUGUUUGCUAAAGAAAAAUGCAGAACAAAUACAGCAUGCCAACGUCCCCAAAGUUCGCUCUCAACGAUGCAGAACAUACGAGCCGUUCCAUGUGAAAUUUCUACGGUAUUUAUCCUUCCAACUUAUGAAACAGACGUUGCAUAUCUUGGCAGCAUAAACUCGAACACAAACACAAAACCAUAAGCCACCCACCGCGCACACACCCUGCAGCUACAGAACGACAGCAAGAGUGAAGUCAACUGAACUGGAAACUAUAUAUUUUUUCACCUCACCAAUGAGAGUAAAAUCACUUCAACUGUUAACAGUCCAGUACAUCGGCAAGGCACGCACGAUACAACAACAUGAAUGAUAUCGCCCAGAUUUCUGGCAAUAAUUCCCCUACCAAGAUCACACAAACCUGAUACAUGAAGAACGAACCACGAUUUCCAAAAAUUAGACAGCACCUGCCAGCCACGUCGCCAGCCCCAUCGUCGUUUCUUCUAGGGAAGCAGGGCAGCUCAAGGCAGAUUACAAACAUCAUCAGACUACCAGAGACAGAGAGAGAGUCACUGGCUGGGACUCUGUCGGAAAACUGUACACUGACCAGAGGCAAGAAUCAACGGGAGGCGAAUCGGCGAAUGGCAUUCCCCCCAGCCUCUGUCUCAAGUCUAAAAAAACCGAAGCUAACAGUUGGUCUAACGCUAGUUUAUCAAAUCAAUGGAGAGGCGGCCGCCCAUGCUCGCUGAAGCUGCCUCUUGACCAGUGAGACGGGGAGAGCUUCCUGAUUUGCAGAGGGGCUGAUCUACUCUGGGGUGCUCGUUUUUGUACACGGGCGCCUGUCAACGCUACCGAGUAAGGGUCACCUUCGCGCUCCUGCCUCGCUUCUAUUCGGCCAGAGCUGUACUCCAUGUUUAUGAACGGUGAGGGAUUCCGGUAGUCUAGGCACCCGGAAGCCCCGCUGUUCCACCAGCUACCGCUACCACUGUCAAAGACAAAGCCGCCCUGGAGGUCGUCGUCCGGGUCACAUGAUGAUUCCCUGUGGCUGUAGGAAUCGCCGACGGCCUCCUCCGCGUCAUUGUAAAUCAGCUUCAGUGCCUGGACUACUUCACCCAUGAAUGGCCUCUGUGAUGGAUCACUGUGAACGCACACCGAAGCGAUGGAUGCCACUUUGGCUACGUUGUCGAAAUUGUAGUUGCCAUUCAUAGAAGGGUCGAUCAACCUCUCCAAACCCUCCUUAUUGCCUAGAAGAGGACGAGCCCAAGUAACAAGGUUCUCAGGAUCCAUGUUGUCGGACAUGCCUACGGGCUUCCUUCCUGAUAAAAGCUCCAGCAACACAACCCCAUAACUGUAGACAUCGCUCUUGACAAGAAGAUGCCCUGUCAUGGCAUACUCUGGAGCAACAUACCUGCAUGAUCAAUAGAGAAAUUUUACCUUUUGAAAGCCAAGGAUAAUUAGAAUAUAAUUAAGACAAGCUACUCUUGAGCAAAUUUAUGUACCGAAAUUCAUAUAGCUUUAGAGAAGUGUAAUUCGUGAACAAUCCUACCAAACAUUAUUUAUGGAAGGCAGUAUUAAUCACAAAGAGACAAAUCAUUCGAUCACAGCGUCACAAAAUACCCAAAUAAAGUGCUAUAUAAUCAUUUGUUUUUAUUAAUAAUGUGUAUUGACGAUAUUAUAGGGGCUGGACACAAGCGAAGUUUCUUACCCGAAAGUCCCCAUUACCCUCGUGGAAAUGGGAUUGAUUCCAUUGGUUGCUUCCCUUGCUAAACCAAAAUCAGUAACCUUUGGAGUGAAAUCUUCCUCCAGCAAUAUAUUGCUACCUUUGAAGUCCCGGUGUAUAACAUGAGGGUUUGAAUCUUCAUGUAGGUACGCCAAGCCUCUAGCAGCACCCAAAGCAAUUUUCAUCCUGACAUCCCAGUUCAGCAUGCCCUUAUCCUUAUCAGCACCUAGGCAUACAAAAGAUCAGAUUAACACAAAGAGUCAGCUAAGUCCACACACUCCUAAUCCUGGCUUACAUGUGACAGCGAUAAUUAUGAAGCCAAUUUUGUUUUCUAAGGCAGUGCACUGCUUUCUUUGAGGCAUAUCACUGGAGAAGUUCAGGUGCUAGAUUAGUAACGCUGGUUGAUCUUGUUUCAUCCAUGUAAUUCUCUUCAGCCAUAUCACUAGUGAGAUGCCUUUUGGUAUUCCAUGGAGCCCGGAUUUUCAUAAAGCAAAAAUGGUAUAUUUCAAAGUUUUAAUAAAAUGAAAAUUUUCUACGAGUACAUAUGGAUGUUCUCUGUGUACCUGUAAAAUUUCAUUAAAUAACCCGAUAUAUUGUACACUGCCCAAAAAAGACAAAAAUCCGGAUUAAAAACUAAAAAAUACAAGCCCAUUUUGUUCAUGUAUUUGUCUUUUUUGUAUACAUCACAAACAAAUAUGUAUAUUGAUAAAAAAUAGUAGAGAUACACUCCACAUCUAUAUAUACACUGACAAAAAAACAAACAGAUUUUUUUGGGCUAUAAAAGUUAUAAUAUUUUUUAACUUCUCUUCAUCGUCCUCCCUGGAACCCGUCCUCCAAAGCGAUUUUCUGAACUUUGAAGUACUAUAACUAGAAUAGCAGCUGGUCCUACCAAUCUAUGCUUAGGGAAAAGAAAAUUUGGACCAGCCUCGUCUAGUCAUUCUAUUACAAGAAACUUGAACACUUGGUUAAAUAUUUCCAUUUUGGCUGCUAUGCCUUAAUAUGUACGAAUUUCAUGUCAUUACUUCAAUAGUUAAGACUUGCCAAACAUAGCAUGUGUUACUAAUAUUUAGAACAUACCAUGGAGAUGGGAUUCCACACUUCCAUUUCGUAUAAGCUCGUAAACAAGACACCUUUUUGCACGUUCGGUGCAAAUGCCAAUCAAUUUGACAAGAUUACGAUGGUGCAAUCGACUGAGCAUUUCCACCUCCGCAAUGAACUCGCGGUCACCACUCCUGUCCUCUCUUGUCAGCAUUUUAACAGCAAUCUCGUUUCCAUCAUCCAUGGUCCCAUGAUAAACACGUCCAAACCCACCUUGACCCAAAACUCUUCUUGAACUAAAACCAUCAGUGGCCUUUUCAAGCUGUGCAAGCGAAAAUGUCUUUACCGAUGCUGCACAUGUGGCCACUGUUGAGAGCAUUGACGCUGAUACAGAGCUCACCAUGCUAGUUGACUGAGAUCUGCCACCUGUGUACCACAAAUUAAGUUGUUAGCAUAACUGCCAUUACUAGCAAUUUUUUGUUGUUAUAUAAACGGGGGGUUAUGGUUUUCAAAAGUUCAUGUCGCAUGCAUACAAAGUGACAUUCUUCUUUCGCAAUAGGGGGUAACUAACAAAUAUUAAAAUGGUUAUUUCCAGGCAGCAUUACAUAAGCACAUAGUAUAUGAGAACUCUAGACAAAUUUUUUUUUUUACUAAUUUUGGAUUUAGGCAAAUUUAUAGACAGAACUGCCCAAUUGUUCUGCCUCACUGAUAAGUGCAACUCUGAUUACCAAUAUCUAUGUGGUAAUAGAAAGGGGAAAUAUUAUCCACCGGCAGUGGCGUAGCUGGGGGGGGGGGGGUCCAUGGACCACCCUGAAAUUUAUCUACAGCCUAUAUAUUAUAGCAAAAAAUGAGUAAAAUUUAAUGUGGGUAAUUAAAUACAAAUGGAAGUUUUACUAUUGGACCACCCUGGAUUAUUGAGCUGGCUACGCUACUGUCCACCGGUACAUAAUAUAAAGAUCUCUAUUGCCCACAUGAAGAUGAUCUUAACGUGGUUAAAGGGAGAAGUUCCCUCCCUUAAGGCCUAGUUCGGUUAAUCCUUUCCUGCGGGGAUUGGAGGGGAUUUGCAGGGAUUUUGGCUUGUAGGGGAUUUAAUCCCCCUCAAUCCCCUUCAAAUCCACCUCAACUGAACAAGCCCUAAAUGUACGUUGUCAUGUAGAAACGAGGAACCCUGCAGAGGUUGUGCCUCGAACGCGGGUGGGGUGAGCUCACGGGUGUAUGUGCCUAACCAACCGGACACUACUUGGUUCUCAAGAUGAUCGUAACAGAUUCUUGUAUAAAGCCAUCAAAUGUCCGUGUGUUGCUACAGUGGUAAAAAAACUUAUACUGUAUAUUUAGGGAUGCCUUUAAUUUUACCAUCUUGUGCCAUAUCAAGUCAUUCAUAUCCGCCCCUAACAAGUUGUGCCAAAUCCAACAUGUAAUGUAACCCAAAGGUGAACAGACCGUCACCACAAUUGGCGGCAUAUUUAUGGGAGUAUAGAUACUUUACAUAGUAUCAUGUUUUUUAUGCUUUUAAGUUUUAACUAGCCUAUUUUUGUAAGAAAAAUGAUCAAGGUUGUAUCCAGAAGACCAUCUAAAACAAAAGAAUCAGGAACAAUGCUUUCUUCACUCUUUGGUAACGGGUGUACGUAGGUAAAUUUGAUCUAUCAGGGAAAUAAUUGAAAUAUCAUUUGUGCACAGCCAGCAAGAACCAUCUAUUAAAGGAUUCUAACAUUGCCCAUCAGGUUUUAAAAUAUUUGUACAAUGGUAAAAGUAGUAAUAACAGUAAUAAAUGGCAUACUUAACGACAACAAAAGCUGUCGAUUUUACCAUGUCUUCUUUUAACUGACGGGGUGAUCACAGGGUUCCCAGCCUCAUGAAAACGCUUAAGUUUCUUCCAUUUGACUAUUAAGAUAAUGAGCCCAAUGCAUGCCACAAUUAGUACCAGAGAGGACCCUGCAACUACCACGAUGAUCCAGCUAUCUAAUUUCUUAUUUUGAUGGUGCACAUCUGCGGUUAUAGGAUAUUCUCCAUUUCCUGGAGGACCUGACGUAAGAGAUGACAUAGCUGGUGGUGCAGGUCCCAGCCCUGCAGUGAUAACAUUGCACAUAUAAAUCAUAAAUUCAAGUAACUCACCUAAGAAGCAAAUACUCCACAUAAAUGUUUCUUACCUGGAUAGGUAAUGUUUAUAACCUCGUAAGCUCCAAAAACAGAUGAAUUAAUCUGAACCUUUUUAUUCCAGAACCUAUCCGAUAUUAGGGAUGCAGUAUAGCUAUCAAAAUGCUCUCUUAGUGGCACCAAAUAAAAGGUGACUCUUGUCUUCUGGUCAUCUUCGAUACUUGGAAUAGCAGCCAUAAUCUUCACUUGGCUCUGUUUAAGAAAUGUGCCAGCUGCAACUUCAACUUCCAAUUCUGCCGUGUGCAUGAAUAGUAAAUAUGGAGCUACAGCAAUGUCAACAAUAACACUAAGGGGCAGCACACAGCCACAGGGGGAACCAAUCGGUGUUGAACUCAUGGGCUCGGGGCAAACAGUGCUAGAGCAACCUGCUGAAGGUACAAAAGAAAACUAUUCAACACAAAAAUUUACAACAAAGCAAACAAGCUUAUACUUAGAUCAACAAUUAGUCUGCAUGUCAACAGAAGCAGUACUAAGAAGAAUAGUCCACAGAGGGAUGGAUAAUAUCGGGGAUUAGGUGAAGUAACUCAAGGAUGCAGUAUGAAAUUGUAAACAUAAAUGGCAAACCUUCAGGUGGGAGAGAUAGGGAUGGCGGAGGGGCAUGGUGUGGUCGUCUGUGGUGUUUGUGUGAAUGGACAGCGAUACCUGUAAGAAUAGCAGAUAUUAAAUAACAAAUAGUUUAUUGAAAACUUUAAGCAUGAACUUUUAGCACCGACGUUGUCACGGUUACAUACCAGGAGAUCUUGGAGACAGUACCCCAGGAGAAAAUGCCGGGGAAAUUCGAGGUCCAAACACUCUUGUUUCAGGGGGAUUUGACGGAUGUGGCGCUGGGCUAGGCUGUAUGUUUGCUGGAGAACGGAAGGUAUUAAGUUCACAUUUGACAGAAACGAAUUGCAAAAUCUGAUAAGAGAAAAACCUCUACCUACCAUAUGGCUAGCAUCGUGUUCAGAUUAACAUAUACAGUUUCAAAUGGUUACUUCAAGAAAGCUCAGGCGCACUGUACAAUCAUACAUUUCCAUUUGCGGCCUAUAUAGCCAAUGCCCGUUGGCAGUUUCUGUUUCUAAAAUAAGAGUGUAUGAACUGGAAAGAUAAUAAACCAUUUUCUAGAAGUUUUGUUCUGCGUCUGUAAAUGUUUGAAUUCUGCAUAUAUUCUCAAUUUAUCAUACUUGUGUUUCAAAAUUUUACAUCACAGUGACACUUUUUAUUCCUCGUACAUGGAAACAAAACAUGAAAUGUUUUCUCAGCGCAUGCUGCCGUGCCAUGCAUUUUUUGGAGUUUGGUGAAAGUUAGCAUUUCACUCAAGUUCUAGCGGUUGGUUAGGAGGCACUGGCGUGGGUGAGUUGUGUGUGUAUGGUGGUGUCGCUGGUGUGUGUUCACGUGUGCGUCAUCCUUGUAAUCGCCAAAAAAAUGGCCUCAUGGUCAAGCUAAGAGCACGAGAGACACCAAGUGCAUUAACUACUCCAGAAAGUAACGGCGUUAGUAAUGAACUCUGAGAAUGGCUGCCAAAUUUGUACCCGAACGUGUCCGAUACGUUUUGGCAGAUAUCAGAACGUAUCCAACUAUUCAGGCGUAUCUAACCCCUGAUACGCUAGUUUCCUGCCGUAUCCAUGCAACUUAGCUGCCAAUCAAGAGGGGCCAUCAUACUACACUCAGGUUUUGUCGAUAGUGUCACCGGGGUGGAAGAAUACAACUAUAAAAGGUGGUACCACAGAUUUAGUUAAGAGAAGACCGUCAAGCAUUACUUGCAAGCAAAGCAAGUGUUGGCUGAGUGUUGAGAGACGAUACUACAGGUCGGAUUUGAACUACUUAUAGGCGCGCCUUUCUACCUUAAGGUUUUGUGCCAUGGUCUCUUGGCUGGUUGUGUCACACAGAUGGGCACGCCCCUGUUUUACGCUCACUACAAACAAACGCAAAUUAGACUCUAACAUGCAUUUCCAAUGUUAAUGGAGCACUCCAACAGCAGUGGGAGCACAAACUGUCCACCAGUCCCAUCCCAUCCAUGCCUCCUUGGCACAAGGAACAAGCAGUGGCAGCCAUUGUCACCUGUUACUUUCAGGCAUGAGAAAACAAUGGCAGGCUAAAACCACCUUCCCUCUCACAGAAAAAUAAUGGCAGGCUAAAACACACAGCUCCAGACUCAUGUACCCAGCUCGCCCACACCUUGCUGGAUCCUUCCCCGGGUAGUCAAAACCAUCGACCAUGGCAGAAUCUAGAAAUAACACUGUCCAGAAUACCCUCUGUCCUCUGAUAGACAGCAGAAUUCCCCUAAUAAUAGACGGCGCUCGCACACGGACCGACAGAACCCCCACCCGAACCCCAAUUCCCAGCUUCCCCCAAUCGCCCAGAGCACGCGACAGCAACGUCGCAUCUUGCUGCUGCUUCUGCUGCUGCUAUGUCCGUCGUCCACUCCACAGGCUAGUGACGAGGAGCUGGAAUUCGCACCGAAAAUGCCGCCCCCACGGGCGCAAGCAGCCCCACGCCCUCCCUCCCUCCCUCCCUCCAAACCCCACCCCACCCAACCCAACCCGGAGNNNNNNNNNNNNNNNNNNNNNNNNNNNNNNNNNNNNNNNNNNNNNNNNNNNNNNNNNNNNNNNNNNNNNNNNNNNNNNNNNNNNNNNNNNNNNNNNNNNNCUCGAUCGGCUCGGCCUCAGGCGCGCGUGCGGUGAGGAGUGGCGGUGUGUGUGGCGCGGAGGAGGCUGCUCCUCCUCUCGUAGUGGGGCUGGGAGGAUGUGGUGGACACCGGUGGGUUUGGUUGGUUGCCUCUCGUCGCGCCAACGAGGAGCGGACAUGUCACGCUCACACCAGACAAGUGGCUCCCGAUGUGGCCGCGGCUGGGCUUCUCAAGCAGUCAAGCUCGUGACGGCGACUUCCGGCACGACUCACGAAGACGUGGCGGUGAGCCGGACCGUCAAGCAGCUGCUCCGGUAGCGCCGCACAUGGAGCCCUGCGGUGCUCGGGUCCAUGAACGGCAACCGGCAGCCGUUGCUUUAUUUGCUACUUGCUCCAGUGAUUGAGCACAUAAGCAGAUUAAUCUUCCAUCAGCACUUGCACUUCUAGCAGUGAUUUUACUCCUGUUUUAGACUAUAACCAAUACUUAUAUUUCAGUAUUGUUUUCUGUUGAGUACCAAUGUAUUCGAGAUCUUAAGUUGAUGUAAUAUGUUUCCACGUUUAUCACGUGUCGAGAUUAAUUACGUCCAUUUGCAAUUGAGAUUUUUAAUCUCUUGCAAAGAUAAAUUCAGUACAUCUACAGUACUGAUUUGCGAUUGAAAAUUUUAUUCUUCCGCAAAACAAUCUCAUUGUGGUUGAGAUUAAUCUCUCUCGCGAAACAUAUUAAUUCACCAUGGUUAAUUAUCUUGCAAUUUGAUACAAGAUCAUCUCAUUUAAUAUGAAGUCUAUACAAUUCAAGUUUUUCACUUGAUCAUCAAGUUUGCAACAUCAUUACUAUUCAUUACAAUAGUAGUGUAUAUCUGUAGAGUACAUUGUAUUCCAGAAUAAAUUGUGAUGUAAUAAAUUUCCAUGUUAUUCUAUAUGUCGAGAUUAUUUACAUCUGUUAUUUGCAAUUGAGAUAUUCAAUUUCUUGCAAAUAAAAAUCAAUUCAUUUUAAUUGAGCCAUUGGCUUGAUACGAGCAAGAAUUGAUAUCCAAAUUCUUAGUGUUGUUUUUCAAAUUGAUAUUUUGAGAAUCACAAGGUAGUGUGUAGAUCUACCGCUUUGCAGAUCAUCACCACUACUAUUAAAGCCUGCAUUUUGUCACUUUGACAAUAUGAUUGCUUUACAAAAUGUCCUCCCCACAUAUUUCACUAAGUCAUGACAUAAGGCAUUACGAGUGAGUAUAUACUGAUUUCAUCGGAUUAUACUCCCUAGUGCUGCGAGAUCCACUCCAUUUUGAAGAUUAUCUUCAAAGUGUCAUACUUAGCAAUUUGAGAUUCACGUUAAUGGUCUCAAGAUAACUUCUUGAAAUACUCAUUAAUUUUGCUAAGCUCACUACAACAUUAACCAUGGUAGUCUUUAAUUUACUAACCGUAAAUUAAUUAUCUCUCGUAACUGAUGGCUAGAGAAUUUGAGGCAUUCGCGCCUCAAUAGCCACCACUGCCUUUCCAUGGGCCAAGGAAAUUAUGAUCACUCUUGAGUCUCGUGGGAUAAUGUGUGAAAUCCAAAACUGUAAGAUUUAUCUAUGGUCAGGAUCACACCGCUAACAGAAAAAUGUUGUCUUAUACAUAAUAAGGCGUUAUAUUGGUUCAGGUCUUAGCAUCUGGUUAUUCCGUAUCAACAAUUCCUGGGCACAAUGAACCUCAAGGGCAAAGGCUUGAAGCUCACUUCAACCUUCAACCUGACAUCACUAAUGAUGACGGAUCCUAUGUGCAUGGAGAAUGUGUGGUUCAUUAUGCCUCAACCGACAUGUUUGGAGAUUAUGAGUAGUCUCUCAAUCUCAAUGUACAAAUACAUUUGUAUGUAUUCUAUAUAUCCGACAGUGAAUUUUUGAGAAUCAUCAUGCCUAUAUAUAGAUUUCUACGAGGGUCAAUCUGAUGAAAGAUGAAUUGUGCAUUAUGGACAUAUGCGCCACGGACUCUAUACUCAGGAAAGUCCAAUGUUUUCACUCUCGUUGAGAGAAAGGAGAUAUUUUAAAAUCGCUAGACGUGAUGAGGUAUUUGUUGGCUCAACUUGAGUCAUAUUUACUAUCCCUGUGGGUACUCGAGUAACGUCGGGAUGCUUUAUUGCUUCCCAGAUUUAACUCGUACCCUACUAAACUAUAGAGGUAUCCGUCAAAAUAGUUCCCAUAGCGAAACUUAUGAUGACAGCAACGAAUAUGGCAGGCAAAUUUUUUAUGUAUCAUCUGAAUUGUACUACACAUACGACACAACCCGUAGCACAUGUUGCGUAUGAGAUAGUUUUCCAGAGUAUCUUGUACAUGACAAACUUGGCAUUCUCGCCUUGGUCAUCGAGAUAUUGGGUUGAAAGCGAAAGUAUCACCAAUUCCAAUAGUUUAUGAUUAUUAUGAUGCUAAAUUCUAACAGUAUUUGGAUUUUGUGUGCACUACAUGUGACACAAGGAAGCUAAUUUUAAGGCUCGCGCACCUUAAAGUCUAUGCUGAACCACUCAGACUCCUUGAAUGCAUCAAGUCGAGGUAAGUGGCUCUUCCCAUCCAUUGACUAGACCAUUUAGGUAUUCCAUGGUUCUAAAAGCCAUAUCUAUAUGAUUGUCUCAAGUGUGAUUUAUUCACAUGAAACCAUUGGUGAUGGGAAACGUCGCAUGGGAAACAAAAAAAAAAUUCCUACGCGCACGAAGACCUAUCAUGGUGAUGUUCGACUACGAGAGGGGAUUUCCGAUCUACGUACCCUUGUAGAUCGCACAGCAGAAGCGUUAGUGAACGCGGUUGAUGUAGUGGAACGUCCUCACGUCCCUCGAUCCGCCCCGCAAACCGUCCCACGAACCGUCCCGCGAUCCGUCCCACGAUCUAGUGCCGAACGGAUGGCACCUCCGCGUUCAGCACACGUACAGCUCGACGAUGAUCUCGGCCUUCUUGAUCCAGCAAGAGAGACGGAGAGGNNNNNNNNNNUGAGUUCUCCGACAGCGUGACGGCGCUCCGGAGGUUGGUGGUGAUCUGAUCUCGGCAGGGCUCCGCCCGAGCUCCGCAGAAACGCGAUCUAGAGGUAAAACCGUGGAAGUAUGUGGUCGGGCUGCCUUUGAAAAGUUGUCUCAAAUCAGCCCUAAUUGCUCCAUAUAUAUAGGAGGAGGGAGGGGAGGCUUGCCUUGAGGCUCAAGGAGCCCCAAGGGCUGCGCACCAAGGGGAGGAGGAGUCCUCCUCCAAUCCUAGUCCAACUAGGAUUGGAAAGUGGAGUCCUUCUCUCCUUUCCCACCUCCUUUUUUUUCUUUCUCUUUGAUUUUCUAUCCUUCGCGCAUAGGGUCCUCUUGGGCUGCCCCACCAGCCCACCAAGGGCUGGUGCGCCACUCCCAAGGCCUAUGGGCUUCCCCGGGGUGGGUUGCCCCCCCGGUGAACACCCGGAACCCAUUCGUCAUUCCCGGUAACUCCGAAAACCUUCCGGUAAUCAAAUGAGGUCAUCCUAUAUAUCAAUCUUCGUUUCCGGACCAUUCUGGAAACCCUCGUGACGUCCGUGAUCUCAUCCGGGACUCCGAACAACAUUCGGUAACCAACCAUAUAACUCAAAUACGCAUAAAACAACGUCGAACCUUAAGUGUGCAGAACCUGCGGGUUCGAGAACUAUGUAUACAUGACCCGAGUGACUCCUCGGUCAAUAUCCAAUAGCGGGACCUGGAUGCCCAUAUUGGAUCCUACAUAUUCUACGAAGAUCUUAUCGUUUGAACCUCAGUGCCAAGGAUUCGUAUAAUCCCGUACGCCAUUCCCUUUGUCCUUCGGUAUGUUACUUGCCCGAGAUUCGAUCGUCAGUAUCCGCAUACCUAUUUCAAUCUCGUUUACCAGCAAGUCUCUUUACUCGUUCCGUAAUACAAGAUCCCGCAACUUACACUAAGUUACAUUGCUUGCAAGGCUUGUGUGUGAUGUUGUAUCACCGAGUGGGCCCCGAGAUACCUCUCCAUCACACGGAGUGACAAAUCCCAGUCUUGAUCCAUACUAACUCAACUAACACCUUCGGAGAUACCUGUAGAGCAUCUUUAUAGUCACCCAGUUAUGUUGCGACGUUUGAUACACACAAAGCAUUCCUCCGGUGUCAGUGAGUUAUAUGAUCUCAUGGUCAUAGGAACAAAUACUUGACACGCAGAAAACAGUAGCAACAAAAUGACACGAUCAACAUGCUACGUCUAUUAGUUUGGGUCUAGUCCAUCACGUGAUUCUUCUAAUGACGUGAUCCAGUUAUCAAGCAACAACACCUUGUAUAUAAUCAGAAGACCCUGACUAUCUUUGAUGAACUGGCUAGCCAACUAGGGGCUUGCUAGGGAUAGUGUUUUGUCUAUGUAUCCACACAUGUAUAUAAGUCUUCAUUCAAUACAAUUAUAGCAUGGAUAAUAAACGAUUAUCUUGAUACAGGAAUUAUAAUAAUAACUAUAUUUAUUAUUGCCUCUAGGGCAUAAUUCCAACAGUCUCCCACUUGCACUAGAGUCAAUAAUCUAGCCCUCACAUCACCAUGUGAAUUACAUUGUAAUAAAUCUAACACCCAUACAGUUCUGGUGUCGAUCAUGUUUUGGCCGUGGGAGAGGUUUAGUCAGCGGGUCUCCUACAUUCAGAUCCGUGUGCACUUUGCAUAUAUUUACGUCCUCUUCCUCGACGUAGUCGCGGAUGAGGUUGAAGCGUCGUUUGAUGUGUCUGGUCUUCUUGUGAAACCGUGGUUCCUUUUCUAAGGCAAUGGCACCCGUGUUGUCACAGAACAAGGUUAUUGGAUUCAGUGCGCUUGGCACCACUCCAAGAUCCGUCAUGAACUGCUUCAUCCAGACACCCUCCUUAGCCGCCUCCGACGCAGCCAUGUACUCCGCUUCACAUGUAGAAUCAGCUACGACGCUUUGCUUGGAACUGCACCAGCUUACAGCACCCCCAUUAAGAAUAAAUACGUAUCCGGUCUGCGACUUAGAGUCGUCCGGAUCUGUGUCAAAGCUUGCAUCGACGUAACCCUUUACGGCGAGCUCUUCGUCACCUCCACACACGAGAAACAUCUCCUUAGUCCUUUUCAGGUACUUCAGGAUAUUCUUAACCGCCGUCCAGUGAUUCACUCCUGGAUUACUCUGGAACUUGCCUGCCAUACUUAUGGCCAGGCUAACGUCCGGUCUAGUGCACAACAUUGCAUACGUGAUAGAUCCUAUGGCUGAAGCAUAGGGGACGGUGCUCAUAUGCUCUCUAUCUUUAUCAGUUGCUGGGCACUGAGUCUUACUCAAUCUCGUACCUUGUAAAACUGGAAAGAACCCUUUCUUGGACUGUUCCAUUUUGAACCUUUUCAAAACUUUAUCAAGGUAUGUGCUUUGUGAAAGUCCUAUCAGGCGUUUCGAUCUAUCCCUGUAGAUCUUAAUGCCUAGAAUGUAAGCAGCUUCUCCUAGGUCCUUCAUAGAGAAACUUUUAUUCAAGUAAUCCUUUACGCUCUCCAAAAACUCUACAUUGUUUCCAAUCAGCAAUAUGUCAUCUACAUAUAAUAUCAGAAACGCCACAGAGCUCCCACUCACUUUCUUGUAAAUACAAGAUUCUCCAACCACUUGUAUAAACCCAAAUGCUUUGAUCACCUCAUCAAAGCGUUUGUUCCAACUCCAAGAUGCUUGCACCAGUCCAUAAAUGGAUCGCUGGAGCUUGCACACCUUGUUAGCAUUCUUAGGAUCGACAAAACCUUUGGGUUGCAUCAUAUACAACUCUUCCUUAAGGAAACCGUUAAGGAACGCCGUUUUGACAUCCAUCUGCCAGAUUUCAUAAUCGAAAAAUGCAGCUAUUGCUAACAUGAUUCUGACGGACUUAAGCAUCGCUACGGGUGAGAAUGUCUCAUCGUUGUCAACUCCUUGAACUUGUGAAAAACCUUUUGCCACAAGUCGAGCUUUAUAAACGGUCACAUUGCCGUCAGCGUCCGUCUUCUUCUUAAAGAUCCAUUUGUUCUGAAUAGCCUUGCGGCCCUCAGGUAGUACUUCCAAAGCCCACACUUUGUUUUCAUACAUGGAUCCUAUCUCGGACUUCAUGGCCUCCAGCCAUUUGUUGGAAUCUGGGCCCACCAUUUCUUCUUCAUAAUUUGCAGGUUCAUUGUUGUCUAACAACAUGAUUGACAAAACGGGAUUACGGUACCACUCUGGAGCAGCACGUGGUCUCGUCGACCUGCGUGGUUCGAUAGGAACUUGAACCGGAGUUUCAUGAUCAUCAUCAUUAACUUCCUCCUCAACCGGCGUCGCAACAACAGGGGUUUCCCCUUGCCCUGCGCCACCAUCCAGAGGGAUGAGAGGUUCGACAACCUCAUCAAGUUCUAUCUUCCUCCCACUCAAUUCUCUCGAGAGAAACUCCUUCUCGAGAAAAGCUCCGUUUUUAGCAACAAACACUUUGCCCUCGGAUUUGAGAUAGAAGGUGUACCCAACUGUCUCUUUUGGGUAACCUAUGAAGAUGCACCUUUCCGCUUUGGGUUCCAUCUUUUNNNNNNNNNNNNNNNNNNNNNNNNNNNNNNNNNNNNNNNNNNNNNNNNNNNNNNNNNNNNNNNNNNNNNNNNNNNNNNNNNNNNNNNNNNNNNNNNNNNNAAUGACUUAGGGUUUGUCCUUCCUGAUUGAAAUUAAAAACAGAAAAUGACUUAGGGUUUGUCCUUCCUGAUUGAAAUUAAAAACAGAAAGUAGAUGCUGCUGCCUCCAGGCCCAUCAUUUAUUUGGUUUUGCUGCUGCUCUACAUGUUCCUUUCUUAAUACUUUCAUGUAACGUGCUUACAUGGACAGCAGAAAACAGAUUAGAUCAUAGAUAGGAUUAGGAGGAAGGAACCAUGGACAAGUGGACAACUAGAGGUGAAUCGGGAAGAGGAAGAAAAGAUGGGGUCGCUGCGUACAAACUGUUCGGCAAGGAAGAGUUGGACCAAGCGGCGGUCGAUGAACUAAUUUGCCUCAUGAAUCGAAGUAUACGAUCGAACUGUCGGCGUAGGCCAAAAGUUAGGGUUCGCAACGAUACGACGAGGUCUCAGGUUGUGGGAAUGAAUCCAUUGUGUUCGCUAAUCGCCUAGAAUAGAACGAUCUCCGGCUCAUGAGGUAUCAAUCGCGUCCCCAACACAGGCACAUAGUUGGACCAGUCAGCGCAGGCCUAGGUCGGGGCCCCUUAGACUUCAGGGGGCCCGGGGCGGCCGCCCCUCCCGCCCCCUGAGGGCCGGGCCUAUCCGCUAGGCGAACGAACGAUCCAAACGAACAAAAUUCAAAUAAAAUUCAUAUACGUUUAAAUCUUCCCGUUGGAGUUAUCCUUACGGGCGGGUAGCUAGGGUGCAAACAUACACGACAGUAAUCCAUGGCUGUGACCCACUCCUGGACGAGGCACAAGGAGCAGGCGUGAAUCGGGACCCAUUGCUCUCGACCGACGCGACGGAUAUGCACACACACUCGCACCUAGUAAAAAACAUGUUCCCAGCUCGUAGGCAUGCAUGCAGUUGCCUCCUGCUCUCCUGCUGCAGCGAAGCAACCAACCCAACCCUGUGUCCCUCUCUGCUGCACGCACGCAGCAUGGCCCUGCCUUGUUUAUUGCGACGUGAAGGCGAGCACUGGAGAGUGGAGUCGAGCCAGCCACAAGCCAAAGCGAAGCGAUGCACGCCGCGGAGCGCCACCGGGUAGCAGCCACGCACAACCCGACGCGGCCUCCGCGUUCCCGGCGCGGAGACGCGAGGCGGCGGCCUGGCCUCUCGUGUGUGCUGUGUUGCUUCGGGCGGAAGGCUUUCAAGUUGGCGGCGCCGCGGCAUGGGCACGUGCCCGAGUCCGGUUUCGCUUCCGCUCCGCCAGCCCACUGCUCCGUUGGGUUCCUACUUCCUAGCGAGGUCGACCGAUCGCGAUGGCCGUCGACGUCCAUCGCCACCACACACAAACGUUUGUACGGCCCGGCGCCCGGCGGGCUGACGUUCCCAUGCAAGGCCGACGUGCCGCGCGCCUGCCGACCACGUCUUCUUUUCAACGCGGCGCGUCGGCAUCGCAGCUGCAGCGCGUACCGCGUACUGUGAUGCCACUGGGGUUUAGGGGGGAGGCAGGCUUUAUCCAUUUCGGCCACUACGGGAUAUUCCUUGCAUUUGUUUACUUUGUAAGCAAUUCUAAAUGAAAGGGAAAAAAAAUUGCAAAAAUGAUUGCGCGCAACACUACGUGCACUAAUGUCAUGAUGAUGCAACUAAUGCCCGUAGACAAGAUUUCGUAACCAGACAAUUUCUAUUACUACUAAAAAUCUGUCAAGGUACACUUCAAAAAAAGUAUCUGUCAAGGUAACUCAAUCCUUAUUUUUUCUCUACUCAUGGCUUACUGUAAACCAAAUAUUCCUUGGCUUAACUACCCCUCGAAUUAUUAAGAAACAAACUGUUUACAUGCCUGCUAAUAGUAGUAGCCAGAUCAACGUUUUCUCACCAGUUUUAGUUGUACGAAUUUUGAUGCCUGGUUGAAGGUUCACAUCACUUACUUAAAGAUAGUGAUUUCUCUGCCACUCGAGCUAUAAAACCUUUACAUUUGCAUUAUGUUAUGUUGUCUAUUUCCUUUUCUCGACCAAUUUCUUCACAUGAUUUUUCUCGAAUUUAUCCGACCCACGAUCCAACCUUGGCUUCUAACUCCCGCGACGCCUCUUCCCUUGGUUUUGACACCAUCAUCCUCCCGCCACAGAGGUGUCUCCUGGUCACAAACUUGUCCGCUCCACUAAGAAUUAGUCAACGUCGUCAUUUGCCGACAUGGUUUGCGGCCUGCAUUUUUCGACUUGAAAUCUGCACUCAAUGUUCAUCUAGAUCGGUAUUUUGAUUGGAAUAGUGUUAAUAACUUUCUCUUCUACCAACGGUAGUCACCAGUUCAAUUCGUGGAAUUUUGGUAUUAAUUCUCAUAGCACUUCUCUUACCAUCAAGUGAAACAAAAGACAUAAAUAGUUGUUGUCUAUAGACUAAUAGCUAGCGUGUAUGAGCAAUGUGAGGACGUGUACACUAGCUUGAUGUUAACCUUUCUGUUAGGGAAGCGAUGUAGGAUAAUCAUUAACUUGAAAGUUGUAGUGAAAAAAAGUUCAAUGGUAGACGGGUUUAUUUUCGAACGGGAAUUCCUCAUUCGAUGGUGUUUUUCAUCAUGAUCUGUUUUUAUAAUAAUGUGGACUAGUUGGUUUACUACGCACUAUAGUUGGUGGGAAACCUAGUAGAAACCAAAAAAAAUCUUCACUACCUAUGUAUACCCAUGUAAAAGGGUCACAUCCCGAUCUCACCUCAUUUGUGAUUUUUUUUCCGGAUGUGAUCCUUUUUUUACCGUCACCCGUUAUGGUUGUAGGCAUACACACAUCCUACUGUCACUCAUUCUGGCGGUAGGGGUCGGGCCAACGCAUAUGACACUUUGGGAUCAACGGGGUCAAAUGACGCCACCUCCACUGACCUCACCCUUACCGCCACUUCGUGUGGCGAUAGGAAAAAAAAGCCAGUCAGAUCAGGCUAAAGUUAGCAAAAAGGGUCAAAAUCGUGAAUUUGGCCCCUAUAGGAGAGAUAAUUUUAAAUACAAAUGUUUAUAUAUUACUAACAUUUUCGCAUGAGGUUCUCCACUUCCAAUGGUUUUUUCCAACUUGAUUGGUACCUUCAUUGCAAACCAGCUUUUAGGUCCAAUGUUGUUCUCCUCUUAGCAUGACUAAGUUGAUUUGUUGUGCAUGUGUAAGACUGUGUUUGGUUCAACUUAGGGGCCAGCUUUUAGGUCCAAUGUUGUUCUCCUCUUAGCAUGACUUAAGGUAAUAUGCUUAAGUUGAUUUGUUGUGCAUGUGUAAGGUUGUGUUUGGUUCAACUUAGGGGCCAGCUUUUAGGUCCAAAAGCUAAAAUCUGAACCACACGUGUUUUCCAUCGGACUAACUUCGUAAGAAACUGCGGAUUCUCUCUCCGUAAAUUUCGUAGCUAGCCCAACCCAACUUUCCCAACUUGAAAACCAACCCAAAUAAUUGUCCCGAGGAAGUUGGGUAUUAUUUACCCACGUUUGGCACUCUGAAGUGAAGGUAACCCUUCGAUCUAUUCUCCCACGACCCGUCACUCAAUGAACAGACAGAGCCGCGAGCCGCUCCGGGAGAUGCUCUCCUCGCUAGGGUUCGCCGCCACCAGCAACUACAGCCGGCCUCUGGCGAUCCUCCGACCCCCACUGUCGCCCGAAGCUUCAUUUUCAUCCGAGGUAAUACCUUUGUCCCUCUCCUCCCUCUUUCCUCCCUCCAUCCCCUUCGUCCCUUCCUUCAACCGGUCGUCAUGCGAUCCUCAUCUAGUCGGUCGUCACGCAUCGCGGGAGCACUGCGGGCUUGUCGUUCGGCGCCGUCGGAGCACCGACCCUCGUUCACCCCUACCCCCUCGUCCCCCUUCGUCCCCUUCGUCCCUCCUUUCUCCCCUUCGUCUAUGUCCGUCAACCCUCGUCGAGUCAAUCGUCACGCACCGCCACUACCGACUGGCCAUCCAGCACCAUCGGAGCAACGUCCCUCCUUCACCCCCACCCUACUGCCUCCUCCCUCCUUCAUAUGUCCUCCCUCUCUCUAUUCCAGAAUGAUCCAGAUCUGGGCCUCCCUUGUUUUCUUAAUUAUUGGAUGAGUAUGUUAUGUAGUAUGGCUAUUUUGUGAGUAUGUAGAUGGUUACUUGAUGGUAUUGCUGCAUAUUGUUUGUCAUAUUGGUUAGUAUUGUUGAACUAUGGGUUUUUUUUUGUUAAUAUUGGUGCAUAUUAUCGGGGAACGUUGCAUGGGAAACAAAAAAUUCCCUACGCACACGAAGACCUAUCAUGAUGAUGAUCAUCUACGAGAGGGAGAUCAGAUCCACAUAACCUUGUAGAAUGCUAAGUGGAAGCGUAUAUAAUGCGGUUGAUGUAGUGGAACAUCUUCGCGAUCCAAAUCACAACCCGUCCCACGAUAUCAUCACGAUCCGUCCCGCGAUCCCAUCACGAUCCAUGCCGAUCUAGUGCCGAACGGACGACACCUCCGCGUUCAACACACGUAUAGCUCGAUGACGAUCCCGGCCUUCUUGAUACAGCAAGAGGGGCAGAGAAGUAGAUGAGUUCUCCAGCACGUCGUGGUGGUGGUGAUGGUGAACUAAUUCAGCAGGGCUUCACCUAGUGCUCCCUUGUACAAGUGGAAUGGUGUGAAUGUGCCUCAAAUUUGGAAAGAGGUCAUCCCAAAAAUAAGGAAGAUAACAGCCAACAAGUGGCCUAGUGCUCCCUUGAACAAAAACAAGAAGUGGAAAUGGCGGCUUGACAACAACUCCGUGUGAGGUAAGCAAAAGCAAUAAAACGCAAGCACUUUUUUUUAACUAUGGAAGCUUUUGCUUGUGUGUUGAGUUAUGUAAGAGUUUUCAACUUUUCUUUUCUGUUGACUAAUUAUUAUUUAACCUGAGGACCAAUUAUUCUGUAACCUGACAACUAAGUAGUACAUAAUCUGGAAACUAAGGAUUAUAUAAACUGGUAGCUAAGUACUUUCAUCUACAACUAUCUUUUAACAACAUGAUAAUUAAGAUGUAGCAACUAAGUACUUCCAUCUGAGAACCUGAUAAUUAGUUAUCUGACAACUAUCUUUUUUAAUCAAAAUAACUAAGUAAUUGCAUUCUGGCAACGACUCCCUUUGUAUCAAUACAAUAACAAGCUAGUACUAACCUUUUUUUAAAACUACAGCAGGCCGCUUUCACUGUAGUUAGCUAUGCAUGAGACAAGAGGCAUGCGUUUCACUGUAGUUAAUUAUGCAUGGGACAGGAGGCAUGCGUUGCGAGGCUCUGACAGAGUGGCUAGCCGCUGCAUCGCACGCAUGCUACGCAACUAUUUUAGAAACCGCCGCACGAAACACAUACGUUUUUAGUUGUCGGAUUAUAGUGUACUUACUUGCCAGUUCUAAAAAAAUUCAGUUUUGCCAAAUACAUGUGCUCAAAUUCUGGCAAGAGAUGGUUUUCAUUUAGGAAACUAAGUAUUAAAAAUGCUUCAAUCAGAUUUUUUUAAAACCUAGCAGCCAAACGAUUGUAUUUUAAAUUAAACGACUUAGUAUAACCUUUACACAUAAACUGAGGGGAAUACAAGAAAGUUACAUAUCACACAAAAGAGACACACAUAUAUAAAAUAGCACCAAGAACGACAUUAGCACCCCUCGCAGAACAUAGAGCAUUCAGAAUUACAUAUAUAAAUAGCUUCCAGAAUUUUAUAUAUAAAUCCAACAUUACACAAUACAUCCAGGAAAACAUCUCAUCUUCAGUUUGGAAGGGGGGCGGGUUUGUCCCUCGUCGAGCAUGUCCUCACAUCAUGUGUGAUUGAUCCAGAGAGCCGACAGGUCUUUUUUUCUUUCUUGCCAAUGUUCAAUGGGUGCUGGAAUGUCUUCUUCCUCUUGCGCCCUUUGUGUUUGACUUUUUUGGGUCACGAAGGAUAGGAUCAUGAGCAACUACAUGUGAAGAAUGGUGCUGGUUGUUCGAGCCACGAAACAGGGUAGAAGUAGCAUUUGUAGCAACAACCAUUGGCCAAGCAGACACACUCAAAACACUCAUGGAUGCACUUUGGCUUUGAAUUUGGGGGUCAGAAGCAGCUGCAUGGGGAGAGUGGGCUUGGUUGUUUGAGCGAGGACCGGCUUGGACAAUAUAGAUACUUGGACCAACAAUGUUCAACAUAACCGACGCACUAGCUGCAGCCGCCAAAGCACUUCGGGCAGAAUAUGCACCUAGAGUAGCAGACCCUAUAGCAGCAGACUUUGACAUAGUUGUUGUACUCCCAGCUACCGUUGUAGCACCGUGGCAUAUAAUGUUUGGCUCAGCAAGAACUACAUAGGAUGAACGGACUUUAUUGUUGGAAGCACCAACUUGGGCAGAAUAUACACCAGGAGCAUCAGGAUUUGGCAUAAAUGGUGCACUCACAGCAGCCACCGAAGCACUUCGGCCCUGAGUGGUUGGCUCGAAAGUAGCUGCAUACAAACAAUGACCUUGGUUGUUGGAGACGUGAACUUGGGCAGAAUAGGCACGUGGAGCAGCAUAUUUUGACAUAGAUGGUGCACUCGCAACAGUUGCUGAAGAAUCUGGAGCAACAUCAACCAUUGAUCCUCUUUUCGUUUGUUCUUUCGCAAGUGCAGCAAGCUCCCUCUUCAUAUCCUUUAAGUGUGUACCUAUUAUCUUCGACCAUCAGUUGUGCGGCACCCAACUUUAGCAAGUGAGGCAAACUCAUUCUUCAUGAGGGUUGUUUUCAUCAGAAUCACUGACUCCUCAGGCAUCUCAUGCACUUUGCCACGGACUUGUGACGACAUAUCAACGAGCAUUUCCUCCAUAAGCCAUGUCCAUCUCUUGAGUAUGUAUGUUGCUGGCAACGUGGUAACACCAAGAUGGACCAUGACCUGCAUCGUACAAGUAAAUAAUACAUUAGUCAUGGAAAGAAAAAGACAGAUAUUUUGAGUCAUUCAAUUAUGCAUUUGGAGAACCCAGCAACCCCCAAAAUCUGCGAAGUAGGAAAAGAAGUGGAGAACAUGACAAUUAUGAAUACAAAAGCCAGCAAGUCCGCAAAAUAGGAAUAUGGAAAUGUGUUGGAAAUAUGCCCUAGAGGCAAUGAUAAAUACUUAUUAUUACAUUUCCAGUUACAAAGAUAAUCGUUUAUUAUCCAUGUUAUAAUUGUAUUGAAUGAAAACAUAGAUACAUGUGUGGAUACAUAGACAAAACAAUAUCCCUAGCAAGCCUCUAGUUGGCUAGCCAGUCGAUCAAUGAUAGUCAAGAUUUUCUGACUAUGUGCAAGUGUUGUCACUUGAUAACUGGAUCACAUCAUUAGGAGAAUCAUGUGAUGGACUAGACCCAAACUAUGAACGUAGCAUAUUGAUCGUGUCGUUUUAUUGCUAUUGUUUUCUGCGUGUCAAGUAUUUGUUCCUAUGACAAUGAGAUCAUAUAACUGACUGGCACCGGAGGAAUACCUUGUGUGCAUCAAACGUCGCAACGUAACUGGGUGACUAUAAAGGUGCUCUACAGGUAUCUCCGAAGGUGUCCAUUGAGUUAGUAUGGAUCAAGACUAGGAUUUGUCACUCCGUGUGACGGAGAGGUAUCUCGGGGCCCACUCGGUAAUACAACACAACACACAAGCCUUGCAAGCAAUGUGAUUAAGUGUAAGUCACGGGAUCUUCUUUACGGAACGAGUAAAGAGACUUGACGGUAACGAGAUUGAAAUAGGUAUGCGAAUACCGACGAUCGACCCUCGGGCAAGUAACAUACCGAAGGACAAAGGAAAUGACAUACGGGAUUAUAUGAAUCAUUGACACUGAGGUUCAAUCGAUAAGAUCUUUGGAGAAUAUGUAGGAUCCAAUAUGAGCAUCCAGGUCCCGCUAUUGGAUAUUGACCGAGGAGUGUCUCGGGUCAUGUCUACAUAGUUCUCGAACCCGCAGGGUCUGCACACUUAAGGUUCGAUGAUGUUUUAGUAUAGUUGAGUUAUAUGUGUGGUUACCGAAUGUUGUUCGGAGGCCCGGAUGAGAUCACGGACGUCACGAGGGUUUUCCAGAAUGGUCCGAAAACGAAGAUUGAUAUAUAGGAUGGUUUCAUUUGGUCAUCGGAAAGUUUCGGGCAAUUCCGGCAGUGUACACGGAGUGACGAAUGUGUUCCGGGUGUUUACCGGGAGGGGCCCACCCACCCGGGAGUGAGCCCAAGGCCCUAGGGUGGCGCACCAAGCCCCUAGUGGGCUGGUGGAGUCAGCCCAAGAGGGCUAUGUCGCCACAUAAGAAAAUACCAAAAGAAAAGAAGAAAAAAAGGAAAGAGGGAGGUGGGAAGGAAGAGGAGGACUCCUCCUUCCCAAAUCAAAUUGGAGGAGUCCUCCUCCUCCUGGCGUCCGGCGCACCUGGAGGCCCUUGUGCCUCAAGGCUUGCCCCUCUCCUCCUCCUAUAUAUAUAUUGGUAGUUUAGGGCUUUUUGAGACACAACUUUACCACAUGCAACUCAAGGCUAUUCCACAUAGUUUUAACUCUAGAUCGGAUUUCUGCGGAGCUCGGGCGGAGCCUUGCAAGAGUAGAUCGUCACCACCACCGGAGCGCCGUCACGCUGUCGGAGAACUCAUCUACUUCUCCGUCUUGCUUGCUGGAUCAAGAAGGCCAAGAUCAUCGUUGAGCUGUACGUGUGCUGAACGCGGAGGUGUCGUCCGUUCGGCGCUAGAUCGAAACGGAUAGUGGGACGGAUCGCGAGACGGUUCGUGGGACGGAUCCUGGGGCGGUUCGAGGGACGUGAAGACGUUCCACUAUAUCAACCGCGUUUCUUAACGCUUCCUGCUGAGCGAUCUACAAGGGUAUGUAGAUCUAAUCUCCACUCGUAGAUGGACAUCACCAUGAUAGGUAUCCGUAUGCGUAGGAAUUUUUUUGUUUCUCAUGCAACGUUCCCCAACAGUGGCAUCAUGAGCUAGGUUGAUGCGUAGAUGUUAUCUCGAGUAGAACACAAAAGGUUUUUUGGACGGUGAAGUUCGAUUUGCUGCCCUCCUUAGUCUUUUCUCGAUUCGGCGGUAUUGUUGGAUUGAAGCGGCCCGGACCGACAUAACUCGUACGCUUACGAGAGACUGGUUUCAUCGAUUGACAUGCAACCUCGUUGCAUAAAGAUGACUGGUGGGUGUCGGUUUCUUCAACUUUAUUUGAAUUGGUUUUUGACCGAGGCCGUCCUUGGAGAGAGGUUAAAUAGCAAUUUGCACAUCUCCGUUGUGGUUUUUGCGUAAGUAAGAUGCGAUCAUACUAGAUACCCAUAGCAGCCACAUAAAAUAUGCAACAACAAAUUAGAGGACGUCUAACUUGUUUUUGCAGGGUAUGCUUGUGAUAUGAUAUGGCCAAUGACGUGAUGUGAUAUAUUGGAUGUAUGAGAUCAUCAUGUUGUAAUAGUUAAUAUUGACUUGCACGUCGAUGCUACGACAACCGGCAGGAGCCAUAGGGUUGUCUUUAAACUAAUGUUUGUGUUUGCAGAUGCGUUUACUAUAUUUCUAGGUCAUAGCUUUAGUGGUAAUAGCAUAGAUAACACGACAACCUCGAUGGCGACACGUUGAUGGAGAUCAUGAUGAUGGAGAUCAUGGUGUGGCUCCGGUGACAAGAAGAUCAUGACGGUGCUUUGGUGAUGGAGAUCAAGAAGCACAAGAUGAUGGCCAUAUCAUGUCACUUAUGAAUUGCAUGUGAUGUUAAUCCUUUUCUGCACCUGAUUUUGCUUAGAACGACGGUAGCAUUAUGAGGUGAUCUCUCACUAAAAUUUCAAGACGAAAUUGUGUUAUCCCCAACUGUGCACCGUUGCGACAGUUCGUAGUUUCGAGACACCACGUGAUGAUCAGGUGUGAUAGACUCAACGUUCACAUACAACGGGUGCAAAACAGUUGCACACACGGAACACUCGGGUUAAACUUGACGAGCCUAGCAUGUGCAGACAUGGCCUCGGAACACAUGAUACCGAAAGGUCGAGCAUGAAUCAUAUAGUUGAUAUGAUUAGCAUAGAGAUGCUUACCACUGAAACUAUUCUCAACUCACGUGAUGAUCAGACUUGAGUUAGUGAAUUUGGAUCAUGUACCACUCAAAUGACUAGAGAGAUGUACUUUUUGAGUGGGAGUUUAUCAAGUAAUUUGAUUAGUUAAACUCUAAUUAUCUUAAACUUAGUCUAAGUCCACUUUGCAAUAUUUGUGUUGUAGAUCAAUCGCUCACGCAAUAGUCACCCUGAAUUUUAAUACGUUCCUAGAGAAAUCUAAGUUGAAAGAUGAUGGAAGCAACUUUGUAGACUGGGCUCGUAAUCUUAAGUUGCUCCUGCAAGCUUGGAAGAAAGAUUAUGUCCUUAAUGCUGCGCUAGGAGAUGAACUACCCGCUAUGGCUGACCAAGAUGUUAAGAACGCUUGGUUAACAUGUAAGGAGGACUACUGAGUAGUUCAGUGUGCAGUCUUGUAUGGCUUAGAGUCGGGACUUCAACGUUGCUUUGAGCGUCAUGGAGCAUAUGAGAUGUUCCAGGAGUUAAAGUUUAUCUUUCAGAAGAACGCCCGGAUCGAGAGGUAUGAGACCUCCGAUAAAUUCUGUGCUUGCAAGAUGGAGGAGAAUUCGUCUGUCAGUGAACAUGUGCUCAAAAUGUCUGGGUACUCAAACCGUCUAGCUGAACUGGGCAUUGAACUCCCGCAAGAAGCUAUCACUGACAGAAUCCUUCAAUCACUGCCGCCAAGCUAUAAAGGGUUUGUGUUGAACUAGAACAUGCGAGGGAUGAACAAGUCUCCCGGCGAGUUGUUUGCGAUGCUGAAAGUCGCAGAGUCUGAACUCCGUAAAGAGCAUCAAGUGUUGAUGGUGAAUAAGACCACUAGUUUCAAGAGAAACGACAAAGGCACGAAGGGCAAUUCGAAGAAGAGCGGCAAACCUGUUGCCAAUCCGCCGAAGAAACCCAAGGCUGGACCUAAGCCUGAAACAGAGUGCUUCUAUUGCAAGGGUAUGUGUCACUCGAAGCGCAAUUGCCCCAAGUAUCUGGCAGAUAAGAAGGCGGGCAAAGAAAAAUCAGGUAUAUUUGAUAUACAUGUUAUUGAUGUGUACUUAACCGGCUCUCAUAGUAGUGCCUGGGUAUUCGAUACCGGUUCUGUUGCUCAUAUUUGCAACUCGAAGCAGGAACUGCGGAAUAGACGAAGGCUGGCGAAAGACGAAGUGACGAUGCGCGUAGGAAACGGUUCCAAGGUUGAUGCAAUCGCCGUCGGCACAGUGUCACUUCAGCUACCAUCGGGAUUAGUGAUGAACUUAAAUCAUUGUUAUUUAGUGCCUGCGUUGACCAUGAACAUUAUAUCUGGAUCUUGUUUAUUGCAAGACGGUUACUCUUUUAAGUCUGAGAAUAAUGGUUGUUCUAUUUCUGUGAGUAACAUCUUUUAUGGUCAUGCACCGAAUGUGAGAGGAUUGUUCAUAUUGAAUCUUGAUAGCGAUACGCAUAUACAUAACAUUGAGACCAAAAGAGUUAGAGUAAACAAUGAUAGCGCCAUAUUUUUGUGGCACUGCCGUUUAGGUCAUAUUGGUGUAAAGCGCAUGAAGAAACUCCAUGCUGAUGGACUUUUGGAGUCACUUGACUUUGAUUCACUUGACACGUGCGAACCAUGUCUCAUGGGCAAGAUGACUAAAACUCCGUUCUCCGGAACAAUGGAGCAUGCAAGUGACUUGUUGGAAAUCAUACAUACCGAUGUGUGUGGACCAAUGAGCGUAGAGGCACACGGUGGAUAUCGUUAUUUUCUUACCUUCACUGACGAUUUAAGUAGAUAUGGUUAUGUCUACUUGAUGAAGCACAAGUCUGAAACAUUUGAAAAGUUCAAGCAAUUUCAGAGUGAAGUGGAAAAUCAUCGUAACAAGAAGAUCAAGUUCCUACGUUCUGAUUGUGGGGGUGAAUAUCUGAGUUUCGAGUUUGGUGCUCACUUAAGACAAUGUGGAAUUGUUUCACAGUUAACACCGCCNNNNNNNNNNNNNNNNNNNNNNNNNNNNNNNNNNNNNNNNNNNNNNNNNNNNNNNNNNNNNNNNNNNNNNNNNNNNNNNNNNNNNNNNNNNNNNNNNNNNCAGAAGCACGGUGUACUCUACGAUUCUCUUUCUUUGAGUCAUAGGAACGCCCUACUGUUAAGAGGGGACCCGUAGUGGAAAGGUUUGGGUGGAAUCAAUUUUGCAUGCACUCACUUUAUCUUCCUUCCCCUUGCCUGCAACUUUGGAGUAUCUCCCGCCUAUGUGCUUAUCUCAUCUAAGCAAAAGGUCCCCCAGCGGUAGUACCGCUGUGGCUAGCGGUAGUAUCGCUAGCCCUAGCGGUAGUACCGCUAGAGUGCUAGCGGUAGUACCGCUGCCGCCAGCGGUAGUACCGCUAGCUGGCGGUAGUACCGCCCCUGGUGAGCGGUAGUACCACCCCAGAAGCUUAGUACCGCCUUCCUAGUGGUUGUACUUCGACGGACCUUUUUGCGAAGACUUUCUUGGCGGUGGUUGGCCCGGUACUGCUUAUGCACUACCAUGGGCCCAACGGUAGUACCGCUGGAGUGCUAGCGAUAGUACCGCUGGGUCCAGCGGUAGUACCACUAGGCACGGGCCGUGAGUGGGAAAACGGUUGGAUUUUUCCCCUCACUAUAUAAGGGGUUCUUCUAGCUGUGGAACCCCAUCUCUUACCCUUCCAAGCUCCAUUGUUGCUCCCUAAGCUCAAAAGUGCCCGAUCUCUCUCCCUAGCCAAUCAAACUUGUUGAUUCUUUAGGGAUUGGUUGAGAAGGCCUAGAUCCACACUUCCACCAAGAGAAAAGUUGAUUCCCCCACCAAUCCCUUGCGGANNNNNNNNNNAAAACUUGUUGAUUCUCUAGGGAUUGAUUGAGAAUGCCUAGAUCUACACUUCCACCAAGAGAAAAGUUGAUUCCCCCACCAAUCCCUUGCGGANNNNNNNNNNCUAGGGAUUGGUUGAGAAGGCCUAGAUCUACACUUCCACCAAGAGANNNNNNNNNNNNNNNNNNNNNNNNNNNNNNNNNNNNNNNNNNNNNNNNNNNNNNNNNNNNNNNNNNNNNNNNNNNNNNNNNNNNNNNNNNNNNNNNNNNNUCNNNNNNNNNNNNNNNNNNNNNNNNNNNNNNNNNNNNNNNNNNNNNNNNNNNGGCGGCAGGGAGGGUUUGCGUCGGCGAGGCCCGCGGCGAGGGGCGAUGCGAGGGGCGAUGGAGGGUGGGGGCGGGCGAGGGACGCAAUAAAUUGGGGCCGCUGGGGUGGGCUGGCUUCGCUAUGCUGGUUAACCUCGGAAGGAAAAAGGAAAGGGAAGGGAAGGUGUUAAUUCCGGAGUGGAGUUAAUGCGCUCCGCUGCCGCUCGCUCGCUCGCCCUGCUAAUCCUAAUCGCGGGGUUAGUGGAUUAUGAGAUGAUGGAUUACGAAUCCGGCGAGCCGCGCUUUACCGCUGCCCGCUGGGGGAGAAAGAGGGAGGGAGGGAGGAAGAGAGCCGCCGC
Molecule: long non-coding RNA, 40314 nt
Filed under: Hordeum vulgare
Lineage: Eukaryota; Viridiplantae; Streptophyta; Magnoliopsida; Poales; Poaceae
Description: long non-coding RNA (HVUL_LNC017096)
Rfam family: tRNA (bases 5483-5554)
Source: RNAcentral